Homo sapiens (human) is the source of this 2562-nucleotide long non-coding RNA. RefSeq lists it as uncharacterized. NCBI's taxonomy places the organism in Eukaryota, Metazoa, Chordata, Mammalia, Primates, Hominidae. The transcript has 2 exons. The record is from RefSeq and is a predicted model, not a curated record.
UUGUGUCACUUCUUUCUAUACAGACACAGUAACAAUCUGAUCUCUCUUUCUUUUCCCCACAGGGUCCAUCUAUGCAGUCUGAUCCUGACCUCUCCAUUUUUCUCCCUGCUCUAUGAGUGUCCCUGAGUCAAUGCUACACUAGCCUAUUUACUAGAACUCUAUAAUCUAUUGUGGUAUCAAGUAGGGCAAUCCUCCUAUCUUCCUCCUUUCCUCCAAGAGAGUCUUGGCUAUUAUUGAUGAUUUUGCAUUGUCAUAUACAUUUUCAAGCCAAAUCCAAUCGGUUAGUCCAGUUCCACUAUAAACCCUGUUGGGAUUACAUUGAUUCUAUAGAGCAGUACUGACUGAUUUACACUACUGAGUUUUUCAACCCGUGAGCAAUCUGUGUGUUACUCCAUUUUCUCAUUUUUAUGUCCCUCAAUAAGGUUUUAUAAUUUUUCCUGUAGAAGUUUUGCAUGUCCUUUGGUAAAUUUAUUUGUAGGUAAUUGAGACAUUUUAAAAUUGUUCCCUUUUGGGAAACUAUUAAGGAUCCUGUUGGAAAAACUCAACCUCAUGUUCUAAAUAACGUGAUAUCCAGUGGUAAAUGUCACUAUUUCCGUGGGGUUUCUGACCCAGCCUGAGCAAUCCAGAGUUUUUCUACAAGGCAGGGAUGAGAUUGCUAAACUCCAUCCAUGAAAAACCUGCUUUUAAGCCUACAGGUAAAACAUUCUAUUUGUUUAAUAGGGCAGGGCAAGCUGUACUUCUGAAAAUGCUAAGUUCAGCAGGCUUCUUUUAGGAAUAGUGCCAGAAUUAGCCAAUUCUACUUUGAAAAAAAUCUCAAGUAAAAUAAUAAGAACUCAACAUUCAGCAAAUAUUUAUUAAGCACUUACUCUGGACCAGGUAUUAUUACAAGCAAUGGGGAUAGAGCAGUGAAUGAAGACAAAGCCUGUGACCUUGUGGCAGUUAUCUGGAGAGGCAGAUAACAAGUGAACAAUUUAUUUACUAUGGAAACAGAAGUGAGGAUGAUGGAAACAUGAGGAAAGCUUUUGUCUAAAGCAAGAAUCACAGGCAUCAGCCUAUAGAAACAGGACAAAUGGAGAAAAUCACUGGAGAGAAUGACAGCAAAGAAACCCCUCCAGAGAGAAGAGGUCUCAGUCCAGCCUCACACCAAGUAGAGCCUCAUCAAAACGUUCUGUUCUCAUAGGGAGUUGGGGGCCUGUACCAGAGGCCAUGAAGUCUCUUGGAGUCCAUGCUAUGUGAGUGGUGCACAUCUCCACUGCCCAACCCAUAGAAAACUCACCUAAGUUUUCUCUUUUCUCUUCUAUAGAUAUUUUUGGAAAUGAGUUGGGGACAAGGAAAAAGCUAUCAUUGCACAGACAUCUACCCCAAUUCUGCCUCCUGCUGCACUCUCACUGAGAGACAAUGGUCCAAGAAGCACUCUCCCCUCUCCAUGGCUGGCUAGCUAGGUUCACAUUGGUGCAAAGAGCACUCGACAUUGCCAGAAGUGUGCAUCAUCAUGUCCCCAUGCCAUCUUCCAGUGAGGAAGCCUGAGCAGCUGGGGAGAGGCCCAUAUGGAGAAGAACCAAAGUCCCCAGUCCCCAGCCCCAGACCAGCUGAAUUCCCAGCUAACAUCCAGCACUAACUUGCCAGCCAAGAGAAUGACCUGUAUUGAAAGUGGAUUGUCCAGCCCCAGUUGGAGCCAUCUCAGCAGUUGCCAUGUGGAGCAGAUGCAAGUCAUUCCUGUCAAACUCUGUGCUUAUUUGUGAGCAAAAGAAAUAAUUGUUUUUGUUUUAAUCAACUUAGCUUUCAGGGAGUUUGUUACUGAGCAAUAGAUAACUGAUACAAUGGAAAAAUUCUAGAGGCAUUUUCACUAAAGUCAGAAACAAGACAUGGAUAACCCACUAUCACCACUCCUCUAUAUCAUAGCAGUGAACUUAUCAGGUAAUGUAACUAGGUGAAAGUAACUUUUUAUAUACACAAUAUAUGGCCAACUGACCUUCUCUUUAGAAUUAACAAUAAGCAUUUCUCUAAAUGCUCUUAGAAUUUACAAUAAGCUUUUAUAUCGAUUGUAUACAUUAGCUACACAGUAAGCUAUUAAGUGGCUGCAAAAUAGUUUAUAUAUCUAUUUUCCUAGUUUUAAUAUUUUAUAAAAUUUCAACUAUUAUAAACAUGGCUGUCAUUAACAUCCUUGUGGUUAACUGAAUCACAUGGCAGGGAACAUUUUAAGAUGUUAAAAUAAAAACAUUAAAUUUCCCUAAAUUGAAUUUUUAGUAGCAACAAAAGAGACUGCAGAUUUGAAUUUAUUAUCACUCAUAAUAAUUAUCAUUCUUUGACAAUCUGAUUAGUGAAAAAUUGCAAUGCAGUGUUGUUUAUGUGCAUUUCAGUUAGGUAAAGAGCAAUUGCUAACCUGCUUUGAUUUGAAUAUUCAGGAAGAAGCUUCAAGGUUUAACUUGCCAGAAAGCUUUUUUCCAUGAACUGGAAAGUUAUUCUAGAAGUUGUUAAGGUCCCUUCUGCCAGCAAUAGUCUAUGCAUGCAAUAAUCAAAUAAAAAAGCUACUGCCUGACAUGUUUACCACAAAAACAAAAA